RNAcentral lists this ribosomal RNA (265 nucleotides) under uncultured bacterium. RNAcentral describes it as "partial 16S ribosomal RNA". It matches the Rfam family "Bacterial small subunit ribosomal RNA", at positions 524 to 791 of the family's 1533-position model. The record is from RNAcentral.
UACGUAGGGGGCAAGCGUUGUCCGGAUUUAUUGGGCGUAAAGAGCGUGUAGGCGGCCACGCAGGUCCGUUGUGAAAACUGGAGGCUCAACCUCCAGACGUCGACGGAAACCGUAUGGCUAGAGUCCGGAAGAGGAGAGUGGAAUUCCUGGUGUAGCGGUGGAAAUGCGCAGAUAUCAGGAAGAACACCAAUGGCGAAGGCAGCUCUCUGGGACGGUACUGACGCUGGAGAGCGAAACUGGGGAGCGAACGGAUAGAAACCCUUGA